CAGUGUGUGAAUGCUCUGAUGCUCUGUCCUCUGGGGAGAACGUUUCCUCCUCAACACUCACUAGAUGUCACUGUUAGCCCAUCCUUGUGAGAGAGACGCUGACUGCGCUGAUCGCUGAGAGCGUGCCCCCCAAAAUAAAAUGCAUCAAAAUUAAAUGCAUCCCCUUGUCGUCUGAGUGAGUGGCUGGGUUUAUUAAUGAGAGUAGAGCUGAAUAGGAAUCCGGCUGUUUUGCUGCUGUUACACUGUUCUUGGAUCAGUGUUUAUCCAGUCGAAGAUCCAGUCCGACACGAGAGAGGAGCGGAGGAGCUGGGACAGCUGACCUCCUCGCGCAAACUUGAACCGCGAGAAGAAGAAGAAGUGGGGUCGUUGGGAUGGAGACAGCACCGAUCAUUUUAAUCACCUUCCUCGCCUCGCACUACACGUUCACCUGGCUCUUCAUCGCGUGGAUCCACUCCCAAAUCGUGCCACUAGACCCGACCUACCAUGGAUUGCAUAAUUGAAGUUGGGCCACCUGAUCCUGUUUGCGCCAGGACAGCCGACCGAGAUUAGAGUAAGAGAAGUCGUUAUGGACAGUUGUGCAAAUCGCUCAUUUCCUGCUCAGAGAGCUGGUGUCAAAAGCAGAGCCCCCGCCUCAGGAUACCACAUCUGCUCGACGCGCGUAAAGGACGUGGACAUAACGGUGCCAUCGCACGCCGCCUGAAACCCCCUCUCUGCUAUGUUCGAGUAAUAAUGGAGGAGAGCUGUAGUUAGAGUAGAGGCUGCGCUUGUGUGGCUGUUUUGUUUGUGCCGGCUCUGAUGUGAGAGUGGCGGACAGCCUUUUUAAUGCGCGCAUACCAACUGUGCGCCGCAGUUUGAUCCACAGGCACGGACCGUUUCCACCGCAGCAGGUCCUGCACUCUGUCACAGGCCGCUACACCCGCUGUGACAGGUUUCACGGAAAAUCUUUGUUUUAAGUCCUGUGAACUGAACUUUCACUGAAACCCAGAGAGAUUUUUUUUUUUUUUUUUUUUAAGCAGCAC
RNAcentral lists this long non-coding RNA (1019 nucleotides) under Sparus aurata (gilthead seabream). RNAcentral describes it as "lncRNA (ENSSAUG00010014899.1)". Lineage: Eukaryota; Metazoa; Chordata; Actinopteri; Spariformes; Sparidae. The record is from RNAcentral.